UAAAAGCAAUUUGAGUACUAUUGGGACUUUUUUCCUGAUUUUCUCUAAUUGAAGUUUUACUUUCACAUUCAGUUAUUGGUGGUAUUGUAUCCUAUUUUUGUUUUUCUAAAGGUUACUAGUUUUUUUUUUUUUGUCAUUACCAAGUUACACCUGAUUUCAUUGUAAGGUAUUGUAGCUUCAAUAUUUGAUUAGAUAUGGAAACAUGAAAGUUUGAUCAACAACUAAUAAAUUUAGGUGAAUGCACUGUGCACUUUCACAAUCUUGGUUGCUUAUACCAUUUCCCCUUCCCACACACCAUCCAAUUUUUCCUUCUGGCAGUUGGAAAAUUGUUCACCUAAUUAAUCUGUUUAUGGAAGAGAGUUGACUAUGUUGAAAUGGAUUGAUUUGCUGUAAUAUGCAAAGUUUUCUAUUACUCUUGUCAUGUUUUUUAUGGAGAUUUUUUGGUUUCAGGUUCCAUUAUAUGUGGCCACAAAAAUGGCAUCAAUCAAGAAAUCUUCAUUCUUUGUCCCAUCAACGGACGGCUAUGCAAAAGCAGGUGUGAGAUGGAUAGGAUAUGAACCUCGUUGCACGCCAUACUGGCCUCAUACCCUUCUUUGGGCCGUGGCAUACUCGUUGCCUGAGUUCAUAGUUGAUGCUUGGCGUCUGCAGUUUUGUAUUGGUAUUAGAAAGAGGGGACUGCUGAAAGAUUCAAGGAAGAAGGAUUGAAAGGAUGUUUGAUUGUUUGUAAUGUGUAGGCAUAGAUGUUGCUGAUAACUGCAGGCUGCUGCAAGUAGAUUAAGAUUCCAAGUUGUUUGUUAUGUUUCUAGUUUUACUCUUAAUUAAUGUUGCUGGUCUUAAUGAGUAUCAGUUAUGUGUCCCUACUCUUUUUUCUUCUCACAUUCCGUUUGUGUUUCUGUUCUCUGUUAAUUGAUAACUGGUAUUCUAAAUUGUGAGCAUUUCUGUUCCAUUAUCUCAUGUUCUCCCAUCCACAGCCAUUAACCACGUUGCUGAGAGCCUCAGACAACAUUCUCACCCCCCAUCGAUCACACAACCUCCGUGUUUAGCAAACCAUCACUCAGUUUUUCUCAUCUCGCUUCACCGCAUUGUUUCGUUUAAUUGAUAUUGGACAAUAUUCUUUAAAAUAUAAAUGAUUGACAAUUUCUUUGACUAUAGAAUUUUUCAAGGACAAUCCUAGUUCAACAUAUUGAAUUUUAUGAAUGGACAAAUAAAUCGCCGAAAUAAUAUGUACUUUUACAUAUAUCUCAUUCAUAUCAAUGUUCUGUUGUCACUCUAAAAUUAUUUUAUCGUAUUUAAUCUCUAAGUGACUCCUAUAAAUGUAACAUAAAAUGUAAAAAUUUAAUGUUUUAUAAAUUUUCGAUGGAGUAUUAUUCACGUUGUAUCUACAUUAAAAGUCACAUAUUUGUUUAAUGUGAUAUGUCAAUUUUUAAUGACAAAAAUAAAUAGAAUAACUAUUUGAAUUAUUGAUUAUAAUUUUAGAAUGUAGAUGUCAAUUUAUAAAAUAUAUAUAUAUAAACUAUUUUGAUUGUUGUAUUAUCUGAGAACCAACUUUUGCCUAACUUUUUUUCUUUUAACUUACCUUUUUUCUAAUAAAAGUUAAUGAGAUAUAGAGACAUCAAAAUAGAGAAAAAGACACCAACUAUGCCGAUACUUCAUUCCAUAACAAACAUAUGUACCUCAUAAAUACAUUCAAUAAUAAUAAAAAUAAAAGUGACUAAUAACUUGAAAGAACCGGAUCAAAACUCGAUAAAACAAACAAUAUAAAAGACCAUCAAUUGAUGUCUCAUUAAUAGAGUGCAUUAAUUAAUGAAAGCAUAAAGUAAAAAGUCAAAUCCUAUUAUGGAAAAGUCCUCCUUAAUAUAAUUGGGAUUAGAAUUCCACCAAAACUGACCAUCAGACAGAAAGCAACGUUGGACAAUUUAUCUACAUAAGCAUUACAUUCCUUAUAACUAUGACUAACUAAAACAAAGGCUUCUUACAACAUGAACACGACGACAAUAGCAAUAUCAAUAAUAAUAAUAAUAAUAAUAAUAAUAAUAAUAAUAAUAAUGUAAUAUGCAAAGUUUUCUAUUACUCUUGUCAUGUUUUUUAUGGAGAUUUUUUGGUUUCAGGUUCCAUUAUAUGUGGCCACAAAAAUGGCAUCAAUCAAGAAAUCUUCAUUCUUUGUCCCAUCAACGGACGGCUAUGCAAAAGCAGGUGUGAGAUGGAUAGGAUAUGAACCUCGUUGCACGCCAUACUGGCCUCAUACCCUUCUUUGGGCCGUGGCAUACUCGUUGCCUGAGUUCAUAGUUGAUGCUUGGCGUCUGCAGUUUUGUAUUGGUAUUAGAAAGAGGGGACUGCUGAAAGAUUCAAGGAAGAAGGAUUGAAAGGAUGUUUGAUUGUUUGUAAUGUGUAGGCAUAGAUGUUGCUGAUAACUGCAGGCUGCUGCAAGUAGAUUAAGAUUCCAAGUUGUUUGUUAUGUUUCUAGUUUUACUCUUAAUUAAUGUUGCUGGUCUUAAUGAGUAUCAGUUAUGUGUCCCUACUCUUUUUUCUUCUCACAUUCCGUUUGUGUUUCUGUUCUCUGUUAAUUGAUAACUGGUAUUCUAAAUUGUGAGCAUUUCUGUUCCAUUAUCUCAUGUUCUCC
RNAcentral lists this long non-coding RNA (2620 nucleotides) under Cicer arietinum (chickpea). Its description in RNAcentral is "long non-coding RNA (CARI_LNC001641)". The record is from RNAcentral. Lineage: Eukaryota; Viridiplantae; Streptophyta; Magnoliopsida; Fabales; Fabaceae.